Molecule: ribosomal RNA, 331 nt
Filed under: uncultured eukaryote
Lineage: Eukaryota
Description: partial 18S ribosomal RNA
Rfam family: Eukaryotic small subunit ribosomal RNA
Source: RNAcentral
CCCUUAGAUGUUCGGGGCCGCACGCGCGCUACACUGAAUGAAUCAGCGAGUGUAUGUCCUAGGCCGAAAGGUCCGGGUAACCCGUUGAACCUCAUUCGUGAUUGGGAUAGGGACUUGCAAUUGUUUCCCUUGAACGAGGAAUUCCCAGUAAGCGCAAGUCAUCAGCUUGCGUUGAUUACGUCCCUGCCCUUUGUACACACCGCCCGUCGCUACUACCGAUUGAAUGGUUUAGUGAGAUCUCCGGAUUGGCUCUGUAGGUCCCGCAAGGGAUUUAUUAGUAGCCAAGAAGCUGCUCAAACUUGAUCAUUUAGAGGAAGUAAAAGUCGUAACA